CUACGGGUGGCUGCAGUGGGGAAUAUUGCACAAUGGGCGCAAGCCUGAUGCAGCCAUGCCGCGUGUAUGGAGAAGGCCUUCGGGUUGUAAAGUACUUUCGGCGGGGAGGAAGGGAGUAAAGUUAAUACCUUUGCUCAUUGACGUUACCCGCAGAAGAAGCACCGGCUAACUCCGUGCCAGCAGCCGCGGUAAUACGGAGGGUGCAAGCGUUAAUCGGAAUUACUGGGCGUAAAGCGCACGCAGGCGGUUUGUUAAGUCAGAUGUGAAAUCCCCGGGCUCAACCUGGGAACUGCAUCUGAUACUGGCAAGCUUGAGUCUCGUAGAGGGGGGUAGAAUUUCAGGUGUAGCGGUGAAAUGCGUAGAGAUCUGGAGGAAUACCGGUGGCGAAGGCGGCCCCCUGGACGAAGACUGACGCUCAGGUGCGAAAGCGUGGGGAGCAAACAGGAUUAGAUACCCCCGUAGUC
RNAcentral lists this ribosomal RNA (464 nucleotides) under uncultured bacterium. RNAcentral describes it as "partial 16S ribosomal RNA". It matches the Rfam family "Bacterial small subunit ribosomal RNA", at positions 339 to 795 of the family's 1533-position model. The record is from RNAcentral.